This 1109-nucleotide ribosomal RNA is filed under the name Cassidulinidae sp. RNAcentral describes it as "SSU rRNA". It matches the Rfam family "Eukaryotic small subunit ribosomal RNA", at positions 1160 to 1828 of the family's 1831-position model. Lineage: Eukaryota; Foraminifera; Rotaliida; Cassidulinidae. The record is from RNAcentral.
AAGGGCACCACAAGAACGCGUGGAGCAUGUGGCUUAAUUUGACUCAACGCGGGAAAUCUUACCGGGUCCGGACACACUGAGGAUUGACAGGCAAUAUUAUAUAAUAAUCAGACUCUCGGGUCUGUGUUUUAUAUAUGUUAAAUAUGCUAGUCCUUUCAUGAUUAUGUGAUAGGUGGUGCAUGGCCGUUCUUAGUUCGUGGAGUGAUCUGUCUGCUUAAUUGCGUUUCACUAUUGGGCUUAUAUAAUUACGUAUGCACGCUAACGCUUUGACCCCUUUUCUACGGAAUUGUGCGUGUCUUUGUUUCGUUUAGCUCAUACAAUUAAGCCCUGAAAGCAACGAACGUGACCGCAACCUCUUGUUGCUCUCAAUUUUGAUUCUUGUCUUACGGGACAAAUCAUGCCAACAUUUUCUUGCUUCACUGUGAGAUUUUGUCGGUUAAGAGAGCUUUCUAAACUAGAGGGACCGCUGUUACUUUCUUAAACCAGAGGAAGGUUGCGGCAAUAACAGGUCUGUGAUGCCCUUAGAUGUUCCGGGCUGCACACGUGCUACAAUGAUUAUUGCAGUGAGCAUCUCAUUUUUUACAUACAUCGCAUGCGCGAGUCCAUUUAUUCAACGCCUCGUGUGUUGCUUUAAAUGUGCACCUCUGCGCAGCGAUAAAGCCUACUUCGAAAGUAAGCGGGUAAUCAAUUAGAAGUAAUGAUUUCCUUUUUUUCCUGCACACAUAUAUAUGGCACUUAUACCCGGGUAGCCUUGUUGCUACUUCUGUGCGUAUCAGUGAUAUUUUGUGGAUUUUACUUCACAUUAUAUAUUACCAUAUGUGCAAUUGUCAAUUCAUGGUGGGGACAGACCAUUGUUAAUUGUUGGUCUCGGUCUUAACUAGGAAUGCCUUGUACGGAUCUUUGGUUCAACAAACCAUCCGGAAUACGUCCCUGCCCUUUGUACACACCGCCCGUCGCUCUUACCGAUGGACUUCUCUGUGAGUUUGAGGGACUGGUACAUGACACGCACUCUGUGUGUGUCGACACUAUAGAAACUUAAACGAACAGUGGGGUCUAAAGGAAAGAGAAGUCGUAACAAGGCAUCAGUAGGUGAACCUGCAGAAGGAUCA